Molecule: ribosomal RNA, 266 nt
Filed under: uncultured archaeon
Lineage: Archaea
Description: partial 16S ribosomal RNA
Rfam family: Archaeal small subunit ribosomal RNA
Source: RNAcentral
AGACGUCUACAUUAGAUACCCGGGUAGUCCCAGCCGUAAACUAUGCGCGUUAGGUGUAUCGGUGACCACGAGUCACCGAGGUGCCGAAGGGAAACCGUGAAACGUGCCGCCUGGGAAGUACGGUCGCAAGGCUGAAACUUAAAGGAAAUUGGCGGGGGAGCACCACAACGGGUGGAGCCUGCGGUUUAAUUGGACUCAACGCCGGGAAGCUCACCGGAUAAGACAGCGGAAUGAUUGCCGGGCUGAAGACUCUGCAUGACUAGCUG